Molecule: ribosomal RNA, 253 nt
Filed under: uncultured bacterium
Lineage: Bacteria
Description: partial 16S ribosomal RNA
Rfam family: Bacterial small subunit ribosomal RNA
Source: RNAcentral
UACGGAGGGUGCAAGCGUUAUCCGGAAUCAUUGGGUUUAAAGGGUCCGCAGGCGGAUUUAUAAGUCAGUGGUGAAAGCCUGAUGCUUAACAUCAGAACUGCCAUUGAUACUGUAAGUCUUGAAUUCGAUCGAAGUGGGCGGAAUAUGACAUGUAGCGGUGAAAUGCUUAGAUAUGUCAUAGAACACCGAUAGCGAAGGCAGCUCACUAGGUCGGGAUUGACGCUCAGGGACGAAAGCGUGGGGAGCAAACAGG